Molecule: unclassified non-coding RNA, 166 nt
Filed under: uncultured Chalara
Lineage: Eukaryota; Fungi; Ascomycota; Leotiomycetes; Helotiales
Description: sequence contains ITS1
Source: RNAcentral
CAGAGUAUCAUGCCCUCACGGGUAGAUCUCCACCCUGUGUUAUAAGUUACCUUUGUUGCUUUGGCGGGUCGCCGGUUCGCCGGCUCCUGGGUCCCCUAGGACGUACCCGCCAAGGAACUUUACAAACUCUGUGUUAAGUGUCGUCUGAGUACUAUAAUAAUAGUUA